AUGAACGCUGGCGGCGUGCCUAAUACAUGCAAGUCGAGCGAACGGACGAGAAGCUUGCUUCUCUGAUGUUAGCGGCGGACGGGUGAGUAACACGUGGAUAACCUACCUAUAAGACUGGGAUAACUUCGGGAAACCGGAGCUAAUACCGGAUAAUAUUUUGAACCGCAUGGUUCAAAAGUGAAAGACGGUCUUGCUGUCACUUAUAGAUGGAUCCGCGCUGCAUUAGCUAGUUGGUAAGGUAACGGCUUACCAAGGCAACGAUGCAUAGCCGACCUGAGAGGGUGAUCGGCCACACUGGAACUGAGACACGGUCCAGACUCCCACGGGAGGCAGCAGUAGGGAAUCUUCCGCAAUGGGCGAAAGCCUGACGGAGCAACGCCGCGUGAGUGAUGAAGGUCUUCGGAUCGUAAAACUCUGUUAUUAGGGAAGAACAUAUGUGUAAGUAACUGUGCACAUCUUGACGGUACCUAAUCAGAAAGCCACGGCUAACUACGUG
This 496-nucleotide ribosomal RNA is filed under the name uncultured bacterium. RNAcentral describes it as "partial 16S ribosomal RNA". It matches the Rfam family "Bacterial small subunit ribosomal RNA", at positions 29 to 507 of the family's 1533-position model. The record is from RNAcentral.